GAUGAACGCUGGCGGCGUGCCUAAUACAUGCAAGUCGAGCGAACAGACGAGGAGCUUGCUCCUCUGACGUUAGCGGCGGACGGGUGAGUAACACGUGGAUAACCUACCUAUAAGACUGGGAUAACUUCGGGAAACCGGAGCUAAUACCGGAUAAUAUAUUGAACCGCAUGGUUCAAUAGUGAAAGACGGUUUUGCUGUCACUUAUAGAUGGAUCCGCGCCGCAUUAGCUAGUUGGUAAGGUAACGGCUUACCAAGGCGACGAUGCGUAGCCGACCUGAGAGGGUGAUCGCCCACACUGGAACUGAGACACGGUCCAGACUCCUACGGGAGGCAGCAGUAGGGAAUCUUCCGCGAUGGGCGAAAGCCUGACGGAGCAACGCCGCGUGAGUGAUGAAGGUCUUCGGAUCGUAAAACUCUGUUAUUAGGGAAGAACAAAUGUGUAAGUAACUAUGCACGUCUUGACGGUACCUAAUCAGAAAGCCACGGCUAACUACGUG
RNAcentral lists this ribosomal RNA (497 nucleotides) under uncultured bacterium. RNAcentral's name for it is "partial 16S ribosomal RNA". It matches the Rfam family "Bacterial small subunit ribosomal RNA", at positions 28 to 507 of the family's 1533-position model. The record is from RNAcentral.